This 421-nucleotide ribosomal RNA is filed under the name uncultured bacterium. RNAcentral describes it as "partial 16S ribosomal RNA". It matches the Rfam family "Bacterial small subunit ribosomal RNA", at positions 360 to 773 of the family's 1533-position model. The record is from RNAcentral.
AAUUUUGGACAAUGGGGGCAACCCUGAUCCAGCCAUCCCGCGUGUGCGAUGAAGGCCUUCGGGUUGUACAGCACUUUUGGCAGGGAAGAAAAGGCUCUGGCUAAUACCUGGAGCUGGUGACGGUACCUGCAGAAUGAGCACUGGCUAACUACGUGCCCGCAGCCUCGGUAAUUCGUAGGGUGGAAGCGUCAAUCGGAAUUACUGGGCGGAAAGCGUGCGCAGGCGGUUCGGCAAGAAGGAUGUGAAAUCCCAGGGCUUAACCUUGGAACUGCAUUCUUAACUGCCGGGCUAGAGUAUGUCAGAGGGGGGUAGAAUUCCGCGUGUAGCAGUGAAAUGCGUAGAGAUGCGGAGGAAUACCGAUGGCGAAGGCAGCCCCCUGGGAUAAUACUGACGCUCAUGCACGAAAGCGUGGGGAGCAAAC